This 253-nucleotide ribosomal RNA is filed under the name uncultured bacterium. Its description in RNAcentral is "partial 16S ribosomal RNA". It matches the Rfam family "Bacterial small subunit ribosomal RNA", at positions 524 to 776 of the family's 1533-position model. The record is from RNAcentral.
UACGAAGGGGGCUAGCGUUGCUCGGAAUCACUGGGCGUAAAAGGUGCGUAGGCGGGUCUUUAAGUCAGGGGUGAAAUCCUGGAGCUCAACUCCAGAACUGCCUUUGAUACUGAAGAUCUUGAGUUCGGGAGAGGUGAGUGGAACUGCGAGUGUAGAGGUGAAAUUCGUAGAUAUUCGCAAGAACACCAGUGGCGAAGGCGGCUCACUGGCCCGGUACUGACGCUGAGACGCGAAAGCGUGGGGAGCGAACAGG